Molecule: long non-coding RNA, 769 nt
Organism: Rhodamnia argentea
Lineage: Eukaryota; Viridiplantae; Streptophyta; Magnoliopsida; Myrtales; Myrtaceae
Exons: 2
Source: RefSeq, a predicted model, not a curated record
AACAACGCCGUUCCGCGCCUUUUUCGCCCUUACGCUUCGGCCUCUUGAAGUUUGCGAGGCGAGGCGAAGCGACGACGAAAACCCUAACCCUAGAGUCCCAUGCCUCGUGACUCUAUAAAAAUCCGACGGCGUCAUGAUCCUCCCCCCCAUCGCCGAGCAUUGAGCUCCUCGCGACUCUCAGUCAGUGGGAGGAUCUGUCUUUGAAGAGGGCAAAUGACGAGCUUUUUCUAGUGAUUGAGUACUCAUGCUCUGCUUUUGAGUAUAAUGAUUCAACACUUUGAAUAGGAAGAUCUGAUGCUUCUCUUCUCUGAUGUUUUUCUCAUCAUAUUAGUUUUGUUUUUCGUUAUCGAUUUAAACAGAAGCCAGUGAUGACGAACUUUAAUAAAAUCCUGAAGGCAAGUUUUUAUGGGCUUGGCUUUUGGUGUUGAAAUUUCUGAACUAGGACGGUCUGAGGCUUUUUCUGUGUAUAACUGUGCGUUCUUGCUCACACGUGUGUAUCUGUUUCCUCCAUUUCUCAAUCAAUAGAUGGUAUUGAUCGGUGCCAUGCAAAUGGUGGAAUAAGAGUCAAACAAUUGUCUUGUUUUGUUUGGUCUUUUGUUUUUUUUUGGUCGUCUGUUCAUCUUUGUUUCAGAAAGCAAAAAGUUGUGGAUGAUGAGACAUAAAAAUUACAGUUAUCCCUGGCUGAUGUAUCAGGUGCUGAAAUAUGUAAAUCUGACACAACCACUAUACUUCUGUUUGCUUGCUUGAAAAAUUGGAGGGCGGAACAUUU